RNA transcript from Zea mays, 3431 nucleotides. It is a transcript of the gene named AP-1 complex subunit gamma-2, with no coding region annotated. The transcript is spliced from 19 exons. The record is from RefSeq and is a predicted model, not a curated record. NCBI's taxonomy places the organism in Eukaryota, Viridiplantae, Streptophyta, Magnoliopsida, Poales, Poaceae.
UGAAAAAAAUAUACCGUACUGAAAAAAUGAGCAUGCUGUGAGAAUGUGAUGUGAGAUCAGAUGCCGAAUGGCCAGCUUGGACUCCGAUUAAACAAUUCUGAAACACAAAGUAGGGGCCUCUUCGCAAAUCCCACCAGCACCACCGCCUUCGCCUCCGACCGCCUCCCAGAUCCGCUCGCCCGGCCGCCGUCGUCUUCCUGGUCCGCCUCUGCGGCAGUGAGAUUCCUCGCCGCCCCGCCCUGGAUUCCGUCGAGAGGAUCGUCGAGGACUUCGCGAUGGACCUCGCCAUCAACCCCUUCUCCUCCGGCACCCGCCUUCGGGACAUGAUACGUGCGAUACGCGCGUGCAAGACGGCAGCGGAGGAGCGUGCCGUGGUGCGGCGGGAGUGCGCGGCGAUACGGGCCGCCAUCAGCGAGGGCGACCAGGACUACCGGCAUCGGAACAUGGCCAAGCUUAUGUUCAUCCACAUGCUCGGUUACCCCACACACUUCGGGCAGAUGGAGUGCCUCAAGCUUAUUGCUGCGGCGGGCUUCCCCGAGAAGCGCAUCGGCUAUCUAGGACUCAUGCUUCUGCUCGACGAGCGGCAGGAGGUCCUCAUGCUCGUCACCAACUCUCUCAAGCAAGAUCUUAACCACUCAAACCAGUUCAUUGUUGGGCUUGCGCUCUGUGCCCUUGGCAACAUAUGUUCUGCUGAAAUGGCACGCGAUCUGGCUCCUGAAGUGGAGAGACUGUUGCAAAAUAGGGACCCUAAUACAAAGAAGAAGGCUGCUUUAUGCUCUAUAAGGAUUGUGCGAAAAGUUCCAGACUUGGCGGAAAAUUUCAUGAGUGCUGCUGCAUCAUUACUGAAGGAAAAACAUCAUGGUGUUCUGAUAUCUGCCGUUCAGCUUUGCAUGGAACUAUGUAAAGCCAGCCAUGAAGCAUUGGAGUACUUGAGGAAGAAUUGCCUUGAAGGACUGGUCCGAAUACUGAGAGAUGUCUCCAACAGUUCAUAUGCUCCUGAAUACGACAUCGGUGGCAUCACAGAUCCAUUCUUACAUAUCCGAGUGCUUAAACUCAUGCGAAUACUGGGUCAAGGAGAUGCAGAUUGCAGCGAGUAUAUCAAUGAUAUUCUUGCUCAGGUUUCAACAAAAACUGAGUCAAAUAAGAAUGCUGGAAAUGCUAUUUUAUAUGAAUGCGUGGAGACAAUAAUGGGCAUUGAAGCUACAAGUGGUUUACGUGUGUUGGCAAUUAAUAUUUUGGGUCGUUUUUUGUCCAACCGUGAUAACAACAUAAGAUAUGUUGCCCUAAACAUGCUUAUGAAGGCCAUUGCCGUGGACACACAAGCGGUGCAGAGGCACAGGGCAACAAUUUUAGAGUGCGUCAAGGAUGCAGAUGUCUCUAUUCGUAAAAGAGCCCUAGAACUUGUUUAUCUACUUGUCAAUGAUACAAAUGUAAAGCCAUUGACUAAGGAACUUGUUGAUUACCUUGAAGUGAGUGAUCAAGAUUUCAAGGAAGACCUCACUGCUAAAAUAUGCUCAAUAGUUGAAAAGUUUUCCCUGGACAAGCUAUGGUACUUAGACCAGAUGUUCAGAGUUUUGUCUCUGGCUGGUAAUUAUGUAAAGGAUGAUGUAUGGCAUGCUCUUAUAGUUCUAAUGAGUAAUGCAUCUGAACUUCAAGGAUAUUCAAUCAGGUCAUUAUAUAAGGCAUUGCAAGCAUCUGGUGAACAGGAAAGUUUAGUUAGGGUGGCCAUUUGGUGCAUUGGUGAAUAUGGAGAAAUGCUGGUCAACAAUCUUAGUAUGUUAGACAUGGAGGAACCGAUCACGGUAACUGAAUCUGAUGCUGUGGAUGCCGUAGAGAUUGCUCUUCAGCGUUACUCGGCGGAUGUUACUACCAGGGCUAUGUGUCUUGUCUCUCUUUUGAAGCUUUCUUCCCGGUUUCCACCAACAUCAGAGAGAAUAAAAGAAAUAGUUGCGCAAAAUAAAGGGAAUACUGUGCUUGAAUUGCAGCAAAGAUCUAUUGAAUUCAGUUCCAUUAUACAAAGACAUCAGUCGAUAAAAUCAUCUUUGCUUGAACGUAUGCCUGCAUUGGAUGAAGCAAAUUAUUUGGUGAAGAGAGCUGCUUCUACACAGGCUGCAGUUUCAUCUGUAAAUUCUGCUCCUGCAGUCACUUCUGGAGGCCCACUUAAGCUUCCAAAUGGCGUAGCAAAGCCACCACCAGCUCCUUUAGCUGAUUUGCUUGAUUUGGGUUCUGAUGAUGCUCCAGUGACUACUUCGGCCCCUACUACAUCACCUAAUGAUUUUCUACAGGAUCUGUUGGGCAUCGGUUUGACUGAUUCGUCUCCUAUAGGUGGAGCUCCGUCUACAAGCACUGACAUUCUGAUGGAUCUUCUAUCUAUUGGUUCAUCUCCUGUACAAAAUGGCCCACCAACGUCAAACUUUAGCCUUCCUGGCAUAGAGACUAAACCUCCCCCUGUUACACCUCAAGUUGUGGAUCUUCUUGAUGGUUUGUCCUCAAGCACAUCUCUUCCUGAUGAGAAUGCAGCUUACCCGACAAUCACAGCAUUCCAGAGUGCAACCUUGAGGAUCACAUUCAGUUUCAAAAAGCAACCUGGAAAACCUCAGGAGACUACAAUUAAUGCUUCUUUCACAAAUUUAGCAACUACUGCAUUAACAGAUUUCGUCUUCCAGGCAGCCGUGCCAAAGUUUCUGCUGUAAAUCUUAUAAUCACUCAAGUGAUUGUUAUAGGAUGGAAACCCUUAUAUGGUGAAAUUAUCGCAGAUAAGAUAUGUUUAUAACUGGCAUUAAAAGGUCUAGUUUCGUAACAUUUGAUGUUUUGCUAACCUCUGCUGCCCUGUGUUUCAGUUCAUCCAGUUGCGUUUGGACCCAGCUAGCAGCAGCACUCUUCCUGCCAGUGGAAAUGUGUCAGUCACACAAAGCCUCAGUGUCACUAACAACCAACAUGGGCAGAAACCACUUGCAAUGCGUAUCCGGAUGUCUUACAAAGUGAAUGGUGAAGACAGGCUGGAGCAAGGGCAAAUCAGCAACUUUCCUUCUGGGUUGUAGUGCCACCUGUGUCUAUGGGGUUGGGGUUGCUCUUUCAGCGUGCUACAGGCAAGGCGUUUGUAUUCUUGUUCUUGAACAUUUUCACUUCUGCUUGCCUGCUAAUGAGUUUGUACACUGGUAGUUGGUUUUGGUCGCCCAUUCUCUCUUUAUAUAUAGUGUACAGUAGAUGGCAGCGAUUAAUGAUAUAUCCUACCAAAAUUUUCAACCUUAGGCUAUCUCCAGCAGCCUCCCUGUUCUUCUCACUUCUUAUUUCAAACUCCACUCUUGUAAACAGUAUCGCCUACAGUACAAAACAGUGUUUUGCACGCUCGUGAGAUGGCCUUAUGCUCCCAUACACAGAAGGAAUGUGUUGUAUCGCGAUUUUCCUGAUGUAAUUAUUUAUUUUUCUAA